GAUGAAGAACGUAGCGAAAUGCGAUACUUGGUGUGAAUUGCAGAAUCCCGUGAACCAUCGAGUCUUUGAACGCAAGUUGCGCCCGAAGCCGUCAGGCCGAGGGCACGCCUGCCUGGGCGUCACACGCCGUUGCCCCCCCGCGCCCCGCACCCAACGCUUUGGGAGCGACCGCGGGGCGGGCUGAUGAUGGCCUCCCGUGCGCUCCGCCGCGCGGUUGGCCCAAAUACCGAGUCCCCGGCGACGUGCGCCACGACGAUCGGUGGUUGAGAGACCUCUGUCGCAAGUCGUGCGCGCCCGUCGCGUCACGCGGGCUCGCAUAGCGCCUCGCGCCGCACCCGGUACGGAGCUUUCAACGCGACCCCAGGUCAGGCGGGGUUACCCGCUGAAUUUAAGCAUAUCAAUAAGCGGAGGA
RNAcentral lists this unclassified non-coding RNA (412 nucleotides) under soil metagenome. RNAcentral's name for it is "partial contains 5.8S ribosomal RNA, internal transcribed spacer 2, and large subunit ribosomal RNA". The stretch from base 1 to 122 matches the Rfam family "5.8S ribosomal RNA", at positions 35 to 154 of the family's 154-position model. The record is from RNAcentral.